Molecule: unclassified non-coding RNA, 371 nt
Filed under: uncultured Thermoleophilia bacterium
Lineage: Bacteria; Bacillati; Actinomycetota; Thermoleophilia
Description: contains 16S-23S intergenic spacer region
Source: RNAcentral
UCCGGUUUGUCACCGGCAGUCUCCCUAGAGUGCCCUUGCGUAGCAACUAGGGACAAGGGUUGCGCUCGUUGCGGGACUUAACCCAACAUCUCACGACACGAGCUGACGACAGCCAUGCACCACCUGUGAACCUGCCCCGAAGGGAAACCGUGUUUCCACGGCGGUCAGGCACAUGUCAAACCCAGGUAAGGUUCUUCGCGUUGCGUCGAAUUAAACCACACGCUCCGCUGCUUGUGCGGGCCCCCGCCUAUUCCUUUGAGUUUUAACCUUGCGGCCGUAGUCCCCAGGCGGUGAACUUAAUGCGUUAGCUUCGGCACGGGGGGAGUCGACACCCCCCACACCUAGUGCCCAUCGUUUACGGCGUGGACUAC